GCAGAGUAGGAUAAACGCGUAAAGUGUCGCAAAACGGGAUGUUGUUUGCGAACGAAAGCAUUUUGCUGCGGUGUUUAUUCGCGUCCGUUG
RNAcentral lists this non-coding RNA (90 nucleotides) under bovine gut metagenome. RNAcentral describes it as "THF riboswitch". It matches the Rfam family "THF (Tetrahydrofolate) riboswitch aptamer". From Rfam's summary of the family: THF riboswitch presents a pseudoknot that joins P1-P2 and the loop of P3 and two THF binding. The record is from RNAcentral.